GAGUUUGAUCCUGGCUCAGAGCGAACGCUGGCGGCAGGCUUAACACAUGCAAGUCGAGCGGGCGUAGCAAUACGUCAGCGGCAGACGGGUGAGUAACGCGUGGGAACAUACCUUUUGGUUCGGAACAACACAGGGAAACUUGUGCUAAUACCGGAUAAGCCCUUACGGGGAAAGAUUUAUCGCCGAAAGAUUGGCCCGCGUCUGAUUAGCUAGUUGGUGAGGUAACGGCUCACCAAGGCGACGAUCAGUAGCUGGUCUGAGAGGAUGAUCAGCCACAUUGGGACUGAGACACGGCCCAAACUCCUACGGGAGGCAGCAGUGGGGAAUAUUGGACAAUGGGCGCAAGCCUGAUCCAGCCAUGCCGCGUGAGUGAUGAAGGCCCUAGGGUUGUAAAGCUCUUUUGUGCGGGAAGAUAAUGACGGUACCGCAAGAAUAAGCCCCGGCUAACUUCGUGCCAGCAGCCGCGGUAAUACGAAGGGGGCUAGCGUUGCUCGGAAUCACUGGGCGUAAAGGGUGCGUAGGCGGAUCCUUAAGUCGGUGGUGAAAUCCUGAAGCUCAACUUCAGAACUGCCUUCGAUACUGGGGACCUUGAGUUCGGGAGAGGUGAGUGGAACUGCGAGUGUAGAGGUGAAAUUCGUAGAUAUUCGCAAGAACACCAGUGGCGAAGGCGGCUCACUGGCCCGAUACUGACGCUGAGGUGCGAAAGCGUGGGGAGCAAACAGGAUUAGAUACCCGUGUAGUCCACGCUGUAAACAAUCCUCGCUAGAUAUUUGUUUUAUCUUUUUAUUUUAGACUUCGGUCUAAGGUUUAUGGGGUAAAGUGAGUGUCGCAGCUAACGCGUUAAGCGAGGCGCCUGGGAAGUACGACCGCAAGGUUAAAACCCAAAGGAAUUGACGGGGACCCGCACAAGCAGUGGAGCGCCUGGUUUAAUUCGAUGAUUAGCGAAGAACCUCACCUGGGCUUGAACUGUAGCUGCACAUCCUCCGAAAAGAGGAUUCCUUCGAGGGUGCUAUAGAGGUGCUGCAUGGCUGUCGUCAGCUCGUGUCGUGAGAUGUAGGGUUAAGUCCCGCAACGAGCGCAACCCCUAUCCGAUGUUAAAAUUACUUCGGAAACUGCCCCGUUUCAACGGGGAGGAAGGAGGGGAUGACGUCCAGUCAUCAUGUCCCUUAUGUCCAGGGCUACACAGACGCUACAAUGGUCACUACAAUGGGUUGCCAAACCGUAAGGUGGAGCUAAUCCCAACAAAAGUGAUCUCAGUUCAGAUUGAGGGCUGAAACUCGCCCUCAUGAAGUCGGAAUUGCUAGUAAUCGUGCAUCAGCGUGGCACGGUGAAUACGUUCUCGGGUCUUGUACACAC
Molecule: ribosomal RNA, 1356 nt
Filed under: uncultured Bradyrhizobiaceae bacterium
Lineage: Bacteria; Pseudomonadati; Pseudomonadota; Alphaproteobacteria; Hyphomicrobiales; Nitrobacteraceae
Description: partial 16S ribosomal RNA
Rfam family: Bacterial small subunit ribosomal RNA
Source: RNAcentral